Molecule: ribosomal RNA, 253 nt
Filed under: uncultured bacterium
Lineage: Bacteria
Description: partial 16S ribosomal RNA
Rfam family: Bacterial small subunit ribosomal RNA
Source: RNAcentral
UACAGGGGGUGCAAACGUUGCUCGGAAUUAUUGGGCGUAAAGCGCGCGUAGGCGGCUACCUAAGUCGGAUGUGAAAGCCCCUGGCUUAACUGGGGAAGUGCACCCGAAACUGAGUAGCUAGAGUGCGAAAGAGGGUCGCGGAAUUCCCGGUGUAGAGGUGAAAUUCGUAGAUAUCAGGAAGAACACCGAUGGCGAAGGCAGCUCUCUGGGACGGUACUGACGCUGAGACGCGAAAGCGUGGGGAGCGAACAGG